This 433-nucleotide ribosomal RNA is filed under the name uncultured bacterium. RNAcentral describes it as "partial 16S ribosomal RNA". It matches the Rfam family "Bacterial small subunit ribosomal RNA", at positions 29 to 507 of the family's 1533-position model. The record is from RNAcentral.
AACGAACGCUGGCGGCAUGCCUAACACAUGCAAGUCGAACGAGACCUUCGGGUCUAGUGGCGCACGUGUGCGUAACGCGUGGGAACCUGCCCUUAGGUUCGGAAUAACUCCCCGAAAGGGGUGCUAAUACCGGAUAAUGUCUUCGGACCAAAGAUUUAUCGCCUUUGGAUGGGCCCGCGUUGGAUUAGCUAGUUGGUAGGGUAAAAGCCUACCAAGGCGACGAUCCAUAGCUGGUCUGAGAGGAUGAUCAGCCACACUGGGACUGAGACACGGCCCAGACUCCUACGGGAGGGAGCAGUGGGGAAUAUUAGACGAUGGGCGAAAGCCUGAUCAAGCAAUGCCGCGUGAGUGAUGAAGGCCUUAGGGUUGUAAAGCUCUUUUACCCGGGAUGAUAAUGACAGUACCGGGAGAAUAAGCACCGGCUAACUCCGUG